RNAcentral lists this ribosomal RNA (460 nucleotides) under uncultured bacterium. Its description in RNAcentral is "partial 16S ribosomal RNA". It matches the Rfam family "Bacterial small subunit ribosomal RNA", at positions 338 to 795 of the family's 1533-position model. The record is from RNAcentral.
CCUACGGGGGGCUGCAGUGAGGAAUAUUGGUCAAUGGGCGCGAGCCUGAACCAGCCAAGUAGCGUGAAGGAUGACUGCCCUACGGGUUGUAAACUUCUUUUAUAAAGGAAUAAAGUGAGGCACGUGUGCCUUUUUGUAUGUACUUUAUGAAUAAGGAUCGGCUAACUCCGUGCCAGCAGCCGCGGUAAUACGGAGGAUCCGAGCGUUAUCCGGAUUUAUUGGGUUUAAAGGGGGCGUAGAUGGGUUGUUAAGUCAGUUGUGAAAGUUUGCGGCUCAACCGUAAAAUUGCAAUUGAUACUGGCAGGCUUGAGUACAGUUGAGGUAGGCGGAAUUCGUGGUGUAGCGGUGAAAUGCUUAGAUAUCACGCAGAACUCCGAUUGCGAAGGCAGCUUACUAAACUGCAACUGACAUUGAUGCUCGAAAGUGUGGGUAUCAAACAGGAUUAGAUACCCGAGUAGUC